CUGCAGCACAUUCUGGUAGGAGAGAAGGAUAUAAAGUUGCAGAAAACAGAAUAAAAAGGACUGUAAUAAUGAGAGAGAGCACACAAACUGGGGUACAUUUCCUAGUUACUGCCAUGAAAUAUAACAUAUACAAGGUGGAUAUAAAGAAGACAUCACUACGCUACAGAAAAUGGUAUCCGCCUGGCAGUUCCUCGAGCACGAAUUGCAAAGAAAACAGCCUGCUCGUAUCAGGGCCUCCCAUGUUCCCGGGACUCACCUUCACCCCGGAUAAUGCUGCUGUAGCUCCUGCUGCCAUGGCUAAUCAGUACCGACCCCGCACCGCUCUGCAGAGACACAACGUUCCGCCCUUGUGAAGGUUCCUACUAAAUUCGGCGUAAGGAGGGGAAAAAGUGAUAAAGCUGAAGGCGGAGCCGACUAUCUAGUUAUUCGUAGCCUGCUAGAUUUGUCAGCAGAAUCUUGGACAGGCAACUACAGCAAGGACGAGAUCUGAACCUCAGACUUGAAGAUGGGCCAACACAGGCAAAACAUAAAUCAUUCCCUGCAUAUACAGUAUGUUUGGACCACAUAAAAGAUAUGUCAGCUGAAUCUUGGACAGGUAUCUACAGCAGGGAUGUGAUCUGAACCUCAGACUUGAAGAUGGGCCAACUUACAGUUUAGCUAUUUGCUAAUUAUCACCCAACAUAUAGGAUAGAGCUAGAUUACAAGGUUGUCUAACUGUAUUUAUGUUGCUAUCUUUUUUAUAUUGUUAUUUUAAAUAAAACAGUCCCUGUAUUUUUACAAGACAGUCUGAAAAGGUGGACACACCCCUGAAGAAGUCUGCCCAGCUAAAGCAGAUGAAAAGCAUUGGGUAUUUAUAUACUAGCCCACAAACUGACUAAUAAGAAGACUGCUCCUCACAUGCUGUAAAAGCACAGUGAAUCAGGCCGCAUACUUGCUGAGAGGUCCGGUACUACACCAUGGAAGUGACACGUUGCUGUGGACUUCUAUGACUUUCUGUUUGAUGAGCUUGUGACACUUUGUUUUUUAAGUAAGUGUAAUUUGUAGCAGGGACUUUCCCUAUUUUAAUAAAUGAUCAUGUAAAUCAGAGGUGCGCUGUUCCCUUCUGUUUUUUUACUGUGUAUAUAAGUAUCAUGCUUGAAAUAAAAGAAUGGCUUAUUCAAUAAAUAAUAAACUAAA
This is a long non-coding RNA of Bombina bombina (fire-bellied toad), 1176 nucleotides long. RefSeq lists it as uncharacterized. NCBI's taxonomy places the organism in Eukaryota, Metazoa, Chordata, Amphibia, Anura, Bombinatoridae. The transcript has 4 exons. The record is from RefSeq and is a predicted model, not a curated record.